RNAcentral lists this long non-coding RNA (739 nucleotides) under Ictidomys tridecemlineatus (thirteen-lined ground squirrel). RNAcentral's name for it is "lncRNA (ENSSTOG00000030257.1)". The record is from RNAcentral. Lineage: Eukaryota; Metazoa; Chordata; Mammalia; Rodentia; Sciuridae.
CAGGCAAGCUGGCUGAUGCCUGAGGCUGAGAAAAAAAUGCUCUUUACUUGCAGAACUCUAGAUGUGUCACACUAAAAACUCCUUUAUUCCCAUGGGACUAGCUCAUGGGAUGGAAGACUUGGACCCAAUGAGGUGAGGGAGCAUAUUCAGAGCCCGACUCCUCUGCAUCUCUCUCAUACCAUAAGGAGAUUUAGCGUUGCCUUGGUGAGGAGAAAACACAGGGGUUCCAUCUGUGGACCUCCUUCUACCAUGUGAGAGUAACCGCAGGUCUAGGAAAGGAUGAAUGAGCUUCGAGGAAUCCGCAAGCAAGAAAAUUCUGGUUCUUAUCAAGGAGACCGAGAACCCAGAUGUGAGCCCAGAGAUCUCAAGUAUUCCAACUGCCAUUUGACAUGUGACAUUCGCCAUUCAGGACAUGUGACAAAGGACUGUGGACAUCUCAGUAUGGUCCUAUCACGUAACUCUUCUAGUCCACAUCCCACUGAAGCCCACUUUGCAGCUGGCAGGUGUCUGCGAGUGUCCACAACACCUCUGCCCUUGCUCCUGGAGUCUGCUACAUGUGUGUUUCUCAUCUGUCAUCAGUUAGACUCUUCAGAGCUAUUUGAAUAACCUCAUUCAUGCUCUUAGCUCACUCGAACUCCAGGACCCUCUUUGGUCUUUCUGAGAUGAAGACUGCUUUGUUGUGUAUCUAGAGCAAAAUCUCCAAGGUAAGUGAGGUCUGUAGGGAAAAAGCAAGACUUGU